Molecule: long non-coding RNA, 1919 nt
Filed under: Pan troglodytes (chimpanzee)
Lineage: Eukaryota; Metazoa; Chordata; Mammalia; Primates; Hominidae
Description: long non-coding RNA NONPTRT013861
Source: RNAcentral
GGAGAGGGGACUGUGCCAGUUCCCUGGACAAUCCCAGCUGCUUCAUCUUGGACUGACAUGGACACCAGGCAGUAACACCCUCUCUUGGGAGUUGGUGGGAACAGGUGUAAUAUCAAAGCUCCCAGCUCUGCACUCUCCUGUCACAUAGGAAGACCUCAGAAAAUGGAGGUUCCUUCCUUUCCACCUGCACUGGGGGAGUGCAAUGAGCAGAAGAAAAGCGAAGGUCCCUCCGCCUUCUGAGAUCAGCUGACACCUGAGCUUAGGUGCAUCCCUAGCCCUGCAGCCUGUUGCUUCCCUUGACCGCCACCCCCACCUCCAUCUUCAAGGCUGUGCUGGGCACUCCAGGCUGGGCCUGACGCGUUCCAAAUCUGCAGCUCCCCUCACUCUGCAUCCUGGGCUUCCACCACUCUCCAGGAGAGUGGGAGACGCCUGAGCCAUGGGUGGUGAGAAGCGGCAGUCCUGUGCCGCCUCAGUGCCCCACUUGCCUCCUUCGUGGAAUGGACUUGACAUCCCUGCCUCGCUGGCCAGGGCGUGGCCGAAACCUACCCAGGAUGUAGGAGCACCUGGCACAGCGCUUGGCCAGUGAGGCGGUGGUUGCAAUAAUAAUAACCAUCCCUUGUUGAACAUUCACCAGAUAACCAAAUUCUCCACACCGCAUUUCACUUAGGCCUCCCUACCUAAGAGCUGGGUCCUAAUUCACUGGUUCUGUACAUCAGGAAGGCAAAGCACAGACAGAGCACACCACCACCUGCAGCUGUCUCCUGCCUCCAGUGCAUCAGAGUCUGGAGCGUGUUGCUUCUCUGGAGGGAGAUAAAGACACAGUGGCUACCUGGGGAGAUAAAACAGCACCAGCAGUAAUCAGGGGUUCCAGAGAGGAGGGAACCUGGCCCUGGGCUAUGUGUGUAUCAGUUGUGAUAUGCAUAAUCAUCUUUGGUCUUAUUUUUUCCAAGUGACUGGAAAAGUUCAUUUCUAGCUUACUUACCUCUGUUCCUUCCUUAAACUCCUCUAGCCUGGCUUUUGUCUCUGCCAUUCCUACUAAAACCACUCUGCUCAAGGCUGUCAUCAGUGUCUCCACUGCCCAGCCCUGGACUGUCAGAGCCACUCCGGGACAGUUGCACCAGAUGCAUGAGUUUCCUGAUACAGCGAAAUCUCAGCAGGAGUUGAUACCCACCUGCCUGGUGCUCUGGGAUGAAUUUCUGCACAGAUGCAACCUCUGUGGGUGGAAGCCAGGAUGAAGUAUAUGCAUCUGUGAAGACUGGCCUUCCAUCUGUUUUCUGAUGCAACCAAAAUGCUUCAGGGCUCGUCUUAUCUGGAGGUUUGAUGGCUACAGACGUGAGGGGCUUCCAGGUAGAGCUCAGACCUGAGACUUCUGGUCCCCUGUCUGGACAUCUGUAUGAAGACGGAGAAGCACCAGCCAACCUCUCCACAACCCUCACCAAGUUCUCAUGGAACAUCCUCUGAUGGUCCCUCUCGGUGCUGGGUUCUGGCAGGAGAAAGAGAAGUCAGGGAACAGAAGAGCUGCUCUGCCAAAGUCAUCCCCUUCUUGGAGACACAGGGAACUCCAUCUCUCAUUCUCACUAGCAAUUUGCUGUGGCAACUCAAAUGUUUUUCCAGAUGGAACAUAAGCAGACGUGAUGUGUUUGCCCUCCAGGUCUAACCCAUGCAAAGCCUCCUGGGAACACACCUCACGCUAUUUUCUAUUCCAUCAGGUGGAUAUGGAUGAUGAUUAGGAACUAGGGUGAGGUGGAGCCAGAAAACACAAGGAGCCUGGAUCCCUGAAUGACCACAUGGACAUACACAUGCUGAAGACUGCCUUGUAAGCAGGAAAUAAACAUCUACUGUAUUGAACCUUUGCAUGUAGGGACUAUUUUUUAUAGCAGCAUAGCUUUACUCUGACUAAUACAAUCCUUGCACUCAAG